Molecule: long non-coding RNA, 1399 nt
Organism: Bubalus bubalis (water buffalo)
Lineage: Eukaryota; Metazoa; Chordata; Mammalia; Artiodactyla; Bovidae
Exons: 2
Source: RefSeq, a predicted model, not a curated record
ACCGCCCCCAAAGCCCCAACCCCCGGCGCAGCGACAGUUUCUCCAAGCUCUACCCCACAAACUUCACGCGGAGGCACAAAGAUUUGGGGGGAUGGGCGCACAGACACCAGAUUUCCCUGCUGUGUUUCAAACUUCAGCAGUACCACCACACGCAUCAUUAUCUGCGGAGCAGACCCUGUUUCAGUAAGGUUGAUGGCCAAGAAAACAAAAGAGCUCUAAGAAAUCAGAAGCAAGCACUAUUUUACCUAUUAAUUAAUUGUGUAAUAGGUUUAUACAAGCAUUUUCCUUCAACAUACCAACAAAACCGGAGUAUCUUUUCAAAGCUGACCCUGUUUACUAUUGAUACACUUAAUGCAGCCUUUUCUUUAUUCAAAACAUUGUUAUAAAAUUAUCUAAGGGCACGUUAAAAUGGAAGGAAUUUUUAAAAAAACAAAGCAACUCAAAUGCCAAAGUAAAAGUGAAUAAAUGUCUGGAACCAUAACAUUUUGUGGUAAUCGUAUUAAAACAAAAUGUUUGUGAAGAAUCGAUAAAUGUGCUUCAUCGGGGGUAACGUUUGUUAAAUGUUGCCUUAAUUUUUUUUUUUUUUUUUUGCAAGAGAGCUGUGUCCUGUUCAUGUUUACUUAUUCUGUUUCCUGUUCCUAUGUUUACCUACCAUGUAAUUUGCCAAGAUUCUGUGUUACUUGUGGAGGUACACACUGAAAGGCUCACUUGGAAAUCGGGAAGGAAUACAGGCCCUUUUCUCAGUAAGUGGGGGCGGGGGAAAGAGCAGCCUAGGUUUUGGAAGGUAAGAAAAUUCUUUGAACAGAAAUUAGCAUCCUGGCUUUUAGGGGAGAACUGAGUAAACUUCACUGAUUCCCUUUAUUCAGUAUCUAUACUUUUUAAGGCAAUUUCUCCUUUGGAUUUUUCAUGAAUAGGUACUUCAAUUUACUAUAUACCAAAUGAUUAUGUAAAAAACAACAUUCAACCUUUCAGUGAAUAUCACGCCUGUCAAUGAAUUCUUUAAUUCUUUUCUCAGAGGUAGCUCAACUGAUAAAGAAUUCGCCAGCAAUAAGGAGACCCCAGUUUGAGUCCUGGGCCAGGAAGAUCCGCUGGAGAAGGGAUAGGCUACCCACUCCAGUAUUCUGGCCUGGAGAAUUCCAUGAACUGUAUAGUCCAUGGGGUCCCAGAGAGUCAGACAUGAUUGAGUGACUUUCAGAACAGAAAUGUAGUUUUUUAUCUUGGCCCCCUUUCCCUAAUUUUAAAAUUGGGAGCAGAACUGAAAAAGAUGCAAAAGCUGAAGAACCAUCCCAUCCCCCCUAAAGUCUUCUCAAUCUUUGCUUUGUUCAUUGUAAACUGCUUCUAAAUGAGAAAUAUCAAUGCAGUGAUUAAACAUCCAACCAACUAUUAAUACCUGCUCCAA